RNAcentral lists this long non-coding RNA (7966 nucleotides) under Gallus gallus (chicken). Lineage: Eukaryota; Metazoa; Chordata; Aves; Galliformes; Phasianidae. The record is from RNAcentral.
AGUAUUCAUGUUUAGUCUAUCUAAUAUUAACUGCAUUCAUCUGGGUGAAGGUUCUGUCUGGGUAAACCCAGCCUCUCACUGCUGCUCUUCAGGUGGUGGGGAAGAGCCUGCAGGAGUGGCUGUGCUGGAAGCUGCUCAGUCUUCCCAGUAUGGGAAUUCUUCCAUUAGAUGGGGAUAGGUGCAGAACUCAGGACCUUGGGAAGUCCCUGCCUGGGGUGUGUGUGCCCAGUGGGACAAAUGGGGAGUUGUUCUCUUGGUUUUUAGGGUUUGGAGAUUAAGCUGCUUUGAAUUACUUAUCGCUGAUGCUUGUGACUGAUAUGGUGAAGAACUGAAGCCUGUGAGGGGCUGUCCAGGCCCAAGCAAGCUGUUACAAGGGAGUCUAAAGUGUGUUGCAAUGGGGAAAUGAAUUGUGAUGCCUUUCCCUGAGCUUUCCAUCAAACAAAAGCUGGGGUGACCUCAGGCAGCCAUGGAGACCAUUUCUGUGCAGGUCAGGUUUCAGUGUUAGCAGAGCACAGCAUCCUGUUCCUAAAGGAACAUUGCUGCUUAUAACCCCGGCCAUGCAGAGCAUUGCUGUGUGGGUGUAGGGAUUGUGUAAGCACCCAUAAUAAACAAUGGAAUAUGUGAACUUUGGCACUGUGCAUUGCAGUCCUGUUGUUUGUGAUCAUAGGUUAUCUCAGAUAUGCUUGUAGGCUUCAAGUUGCUGGAGGAGAUGGAGGAGGAGCAGUGUUUGCACACUCAGCCCCAUCUUGUGACACUCCUUUUUCACUCUAUUGCAUUCAGAAGAUGCUGUAGAGGGAAAAGCUCUUGCAACAGCAGCCUCUGCUUCCUGCAGCACUGUGCAUGGACCUCACAUCCUUCAGAGCACAGUGAGGUUUCCUGCAGAACCAUCGAGGGAAGCUGAGAAUGUCAGUUGGUGCUGGACUGCUGCAUGCUGUAAGGACUGAUGGAGGGGUUUCUCUGCCUUCCACAAGGGCUUAAUGUGGGAAGAGGAUGGGUUGAGAUGGCUCGGGCUCUGCUUCUGGUUCAUCUGAGCAUCAGUUUUGUUUCAUGCUUGUGUUUUCUUCCUACCUCACGUGCACCCAGUUCUGUGCCUGCUUCUGUUUUGGAGUGGAGUUAUGGAGAGCUUUAAUCCUUGCAAUCCACAGCAACAUUCUGAGGUCAGAGGCAGGAGAGCAGCAUGCUGAGGUAGGAGUGUAUUAUUGCACUGCACUUAUCUGAAAGCACUCAGCAAUGGUGACUGUGCUGACUCUGGGAGGUUAAAUAUGCACAGGGCUGUUUGCUGCUGCUGUGACGCACACCAUAACACAAACCUUAUCUUCCACACAGGACAGCUGUGCAGCAGAACCAAAGCACAGAACUGUGCCUGGUGGUUGUUUGCAGCACUGUGCAUUGCUGGGAGCUGCGCUCACAGCUUAUCAGAAAUGAGCACUUUCCAGUUCAGGGCACCAUUUCCUGGCACUGCUUUAUUUACUGUUGCAGGCUUAGAGCAGGUAUGAGACAGGCCUUGAGCAGGAAGGAGGAUUUAAAGUGCGUUGAGUUGCGCUGGUUGGCUGCGGUGUGACCUGAGCAUGGCUGCAAGCAGGUGCUCUGGGGGGCAGUUCAAAGAAAGGAGGAGGGUAUUUUCUUCAGUACCUGCACUGUAUCUGCUUGCUUCACAGCUGCUGAUGGACCUCAGGGAUGUGCAUGCUCCGGGUGUUACAGGGCAGGGUGUUAAAGCUGUUGCUAGUUUGUGCUGGCCAGGUGAGUUUUCAAUGUUGGGCCAACCCAAAUCAAGAAGCCCUUAAUGCUCAUAGGUCAGAAAUAUCAUCAGUGAUGAAGGUGUAGGAAAUGAGGGCUGAGCUGUGAGGAAGGAAGAGAAUAACCCAAGGGAAAAGAGAGGAGAAGAGGUGGGGGUCAGGAAUUGGGUGUCUGGGGGCCGAUUGUGGCCCUGGCCUUUUUUCCUUCCUCUUGCAUCAACUUACAGAACAUUUAGGAGUCACAGAACGCAUUGGAAUGACACCUUUCUAGAGGAAGGGAUCCCUUUUUUGCACAUCUCUAUUCUCUUUGCAGCAACAGCCACUUUCCAUUGGGUGUUUCUCAGGCAGAAGCAAAGCAGCUGCAGCUUCCAGACCUCCAUGUGCAUAGUGAUGCUUCAUUGCUGAAGAGCUGCUUCCAAAGCAGGGACCACUUCCCUUUCUUCUCAGUGAGAUGCUAUGCAGCUCAGAAGGUCAACAACUUCUCCAAACAGCAAUGAGUGAGAAGGAAAAGCAGGAGAGUGGUUUUUGCACUCAUUAACACCCUGCAUUUCCGCCCCCCCUUCCCCUUUUGUGGUGGGAGAUGAGCAACUUUUGAAUGGAAAACAAAAAGCACAGUUUAAGUUUACUACUCUUCAACCUUUAAUUUCCCAUAGGCUGAUGUCUCACUACCUGUGAUUUGGGACCUGUGAAGGCAAAGAAGACACCUAUGGUGCCAAACCCCUUUAUUCCCCUGACAAAUAGUUCUCAUCCCCCCCCCCCACCCCAGACAGAAAGUGGGAUAGAAAGUCACUGUCCUUCCAGCAUGGCUGGGCACAUUGUUGCUAUUCCAGCAUCCCUUCUAUUCCAUUCUCUGUCCAACAGCACUUCUAUUUGUGCAUGGCUGCACCCCGACGCUCCUCUAACAAAUGCCCUUCCCCUCUGGCUCAGUUCUAUUGCUGUUCCAGCAGCUCUGCCCAAACAUCUCCUGGUGGACUGCAGCUCCCUGGGCAGUGCUGCUAUAAAAUGUCUCUAUGGGGCCUUCAGCAGCUCAGUACCACCAGGGGGGGGAUGUAUUAAAAAGGAAGCUGUAUUAAGAGGUAUUGCAAUAACCACUGGAGUGGUGCAGUACUGAGAUGGGGCAGCCCUGGAGAGAGAGGAGGAUGGAGCUCUGCCUUGCUCUGCACCUCCUGCUGGGAAGAGCAAGCAUCUCUCCCUGCUCAUCCCUUCUCUCCUAAGGGAAGGUCCACUGCCAGAGAGGAACAGGGCAGACCUGCAGCCCUGAGUCUGUGCAGCAGCCCUUGCUUCCUGUGCAGAUGCAUUAGAAAAGGGGGAGAGCAUUUUAAGAGCACUUUAAGUCUGCUGCAGGCGUCAUGCUUCAGAGGCAGCGCUGAGAUGAACCACAGUGAUAGAGAAGAAGUUGGCAUCAAAGCCAGCAGGGAGGAGGAUGUUGCCACCUUUUACUACAAGAUUUAACUAGCACUUCCUCCUCCCCUGUGCUGCUCUUUCUGCUGCAGAACAGCCCUGUGACCUUCAGGUUUGCUUAUGGCAUGGCUGAGUAACCUGUUGGUUCAUGUCUCCAUGCAGCUGAAGUGGGAUCACAGCUCCAUGCACUACCAACAGACAGCAGCUACGACAGACACCAGGAUCCUCAGAAACCUAUUCCAUCGGAUGCUCCCUAUUUACCAAACCUAUGUUUGUUUUACUUAGCAAUUAACAAUGUUUCCUCCUCAUCCCUCAUCCCUUUUUGCAUUCAGCAAUAACUGGUCCUGCAGCCCAUCCUCCACUUGCAUCCAUCAGCACACACAGUGCUGGGGCUCCCCAGGGCACAGCUCAGUGUGGGGCUGAGCACUGAGCUGUGCACACUUUCUGUCCCAGCCAGGUGGGAGGAGACACCCCAGCCUGCUUGUGAGCUCUAUGCAAAACUACUUUCCAGUGCUAUGGUGCCCCGAGGGAAAAGGGAAAGGGCAGAAACCGGUGCUUGCUGCUUUCUGUGAGUCUCUCGGGCAGGGCAGACCCAGCAGAAUGCAGAGUGCUCUGCCCUUGGAUGGGGCACAGAUGGAACACGCAGUGCUGCAGGCAGAGCCCUGCUGGGUGCCACCCCUUCAGGCUGCUCUCAGGAGUCCCUUCGGUGCUUCUUCUGCUGCUGGUAUUCUGUUAUCUUCUGCUGGAAGUAGGCUGUGGGCACAGCAAGGGGGGGUUGUGGUCACCAAACACUGCCAGGGUCAGAGCUGUGACAUCUGUGCUUGCAGCUCAUGCAGGGAACUGAAAGGUGGGGGCUGGAGAGGGCACAGAGGUGCAUGGGGGUGGAUGGCACACAGAGGGCUGCAGCCAGGGGGGGUCUGGGGGAAAUAGGGUUGUGGUGAUCCUCCACCCAACACCACUUCCCCCCUACAGUGGCCUCAAUUACUCUCAGCUGGGUUUUCACCCACACCUUCAUUCCUGUUCCCAACCAACAGGGAAGAAAGAAAGCGGGAGAUGCUGAGAAUGCAAACAGCCCGAAAGGUGACGCAGCAGGAACACAACAGCCUGGCUUCUGCCCUCCAUCUGCUGCAGGUCUGUCCCUGUGCACCCCAGGCAGGGCACAGCAGGCUGCAGAGCAUCCCUGCAUCCCUCUCUGGGUAUGGGGCAUUUUCUGCCCUUCUCCCUCCACCCCAGCACCCUGCAGCCCCCUUUACCUUCCUGUGGGAUCCUGCUCUUCUCUGCGUCCUCAAUAAAUAAGGAGAACAUGUUGGUCUUCACAAACUUCUUCACGAACCUGCGGUUGGUCUUGGAGGUGAUGGCCUUGCAGAAGGCUCUUUCCUGGAAGGUGCCCGGGCCGUUUUUACUCCACUUGAUGUGUGAGGUGUAAUGCCCGACCAGACGGACAAAGAACUGCACGAAGGCCUCGGAGAUGAGUGCAUUCAGCUGCUCGGAUGCUGUGAGAGAAGACAGCAUUAGAGGGGAAGAUGGGACUCUGUUCUUGCAAAUGGAGCCCAGGUCCCAUUAGGAAAACCACGUGCCCUCUGCAGGCUUUAACACCGUGUAAACAGACGCCCUUACUGUGGAUGUUGUUGUUGCUGUUGUGCCUGUUCAGAGAUGCCAGCAUCUCGUUCUGCAGCUUGAUGGGCAAGAUCUGAUCCUCGUCGCCCACCUGGAAGGCAAAUGGGGCCAUGAAGGACCAAUGGGAAUGCAGCUCGUGUGGCCCCGGGAGGUGCUCAGGGGCUCUAUGGGGCCCUGUAAUGAUGGUGUGAAGGGAUGCUGGCAAUGGGAUGCCCCAGAGACAGAGGUUGCUGCUCGUAGGGCAGCACAGCGGGUGGAGGAAUCACUUUGUGGGGCACAAGGACAUUAAAGAUCUGACGAUUCUAAGUCAGAAAAGGACUCUGAGAUCCCUGAUUCCAGCCCAACCCCACCGUGCCCACCUACAUCCCUCAGUGCCACAUCUCCACCAUUCUGAACCCAUCCAGAGAUGGUGACCCCACAGCCCUGCCACCGAGACGCAGCUGGGACAAAGUGAGGACCCUCAGCCCCAUGUCCUGCGUGGGGAACCUACCGCCCGGAGGAUCUUCCCUUCACACAGAUCAACUAUCAGAGCCUGCAAGAGAGCACAGAGCAAUGAGCUGAGCAAGCACAGCCACCAAGAUGUGCACUGCACUCUCACCCACCCCAUCGCUGCUUCCCACCCAGCACAAGCGUAGGGUCACAGCUGAACCCAGCACUGCAGCCAGACCCCUCCACCCCUCCUGCCUGCAAUAAAUACCUCCUCCAUGGGCUGCUCCAGCACCCGCUCCAGGUGCCGCCUCUGGAUGCCAACCAUGAAGGGUGUGGGGCAGCAGACGGUGUCGAGCAGGCACUCGGGGACCACAGGGAUGUAGGUGUGAGCCCACGUGAAGGGGUAGAGGAGAGCAGCCACGGCGUGGAUACACUGUGAGAGGACACUGCGAGAGGAGCUCAACCUGUGCUCCUCCAGGGGUCUGGGGGGGGAUUUUGGGAACAGAAACAGCUCGGGACUCACCUCAGCUCCUCAGCCAGGAAGAUGAGCCGCCGCUCCAGCACAGCGGAGGCGAAGAUGUGCAGGAUGAGGAUGGGGCUGAGGCGCUGGAGCAGCGCUGGGAACUCCACGUGCUCCAGGUGGGCGUCCACAGGUCGUGUGAGCUCAAUGAGCUGCGGGGUGAGAGCCACCAAGGUUGGCUUAAAAGGAAAACGGUCCCUCUGUGCCCACCUGAGUCUCCCAGAAGACGAUUUGGGAGCAAUUAAUGACCACAGUGCUGCCCAAACCCCGUCCUGGUGGGGAGGAGGUUGCAGCAUCUGCAGCAAGAAUGUCUGCAAAGCACAGCCUGCCCCUUGUCCUGCGUGGGGAUUUGGGACAUGCAGAAACAAAAUGCAGGGGAAGCCACCAGCAUUGCCUACUGUGGCAUUUAUUAAUUAGGGCAAUGGAGUUGUAACCCAAAGUUCUUCAGUGCUCACGAGGCCCUGGUAGGAGACCUCAGCACACCACCUAUGAGCAAUGCUGGAGAAAGUUGCCCAGAACAGGGAGGAAGGCACGACUUCGGCUAUGAAAGCCACACAGACGUCCUCAAAAGCCACCCCAGGAGGGCGGGCACGCUUCAUGCUUGCAAGGAUGGAAAGGUGAAACAUCAAGCAGGUGUGUGGUGAUGGUGUGCCCUUUCAGCUGGCUUUGCCCUGGAUGCACAGCCCCCAGCAGUGAGGUGUGACUGCACUGUAUGAGGUGUGACUGCACUGUCACCUCUCUCCACCUUGCCUGCUCCCUGGGACCACCCUGCGCUGUGACACUGCCAUCAAAGUGCUGCAUUCCCAGCAGGCAGCACAGGGCCUGGCCAUGCUCUGCAGCCCCUUCCAGCACAAACCCUGCAUGGUGUCCAACCCCCAGCCCUGCAGCACCCAGGAUGUGUUUUCAGCCCUUUCCCUGGGAUCUCCCUGCCUCACUCCAGCCCCUGCCUGGAGCCUCACAUUCCAUCUCUUCCAAAGAAUGUCCCCAUGCGCCCUGCUUCUCCAUCACCCCCAGCCACGCUCCUGCAGCCUGGCCCUCAGCCAGAGCAUUGAGCAAUGUGCAAAGCCCUUGCACAAGUUUUCCUGGAUGAAGAAAUCCCUUGUAAUUUGAUAGGCAGCUGCCAAAUGGCACUAGAGAGGGAGGAUCCUGCUCUAGGACCCACCCCAGCAGGCCAUAUCCCAGGGAUGCUCAGCACUGUUGCAUGACCCAGGGCAGAUCCUUCAAACCUUUCACUGCAGCUUCACCAUAAGAGAAAAGAAAAGCAGAACGAGCUCUGCUUGUGCUAACCUGGCCUGGUGCUUUGCAUGGGCGAGAUGGGCACCGUGCCCUGCUCAGAUCUUUCCAAGCAGCACUGCAGUUAAGAGCUGGGCUCGCUGCAUGCCUCCAGCACACCCUCAGUGCUCAGCUGAGGCGAUGCAGAGGGCAAGCUGCAGCCUGCACUGCUGGGUUGCAGCCCUGAGGCAGGGGUGUGAACCAGCACAGCCCCAACACAGCAGUGCUGACACUGAGGCUGUUUGAGCAGUGGUGCUCAGGAAUGGUGCCAGGUGAGGUUUUGCACUGAGGGCUCUGGCUCCAGGCUGAUGGAGCUGCAAAGUGGCACUGCCCACAGGUGGGCUCCAUCCUCAUCCUCACCACUGCUCUCACCCAUGGGAAGCAGCACCUCUGUCCCCCAGGGCACAAAGUCCUCACUGCCCGACCCACAGCCAUGGAGGCAGCCCCAUGCUGGAGCAGCACAGAAGGUGCUGAGUCCCCCAAACCAACCUCUGUGCCCGACUCGGGGAUGAAGCUUUUAAUGGUGACGGUUUUCCCCGGAGCUGGAAAGGGCGAUUCCCGCAGGCCCUGCAUGAAGGGGUAAAUCACUGCCAUGGAGAUCUGACGCCUCUUCUCCACCUCAUCCAGGAUCUUGGAGAAGAGCCCGAAGCAGCCCAGGCAGCUGAUGAUGCAGAAGACCUCGGGGAGGCGGACACCGCGGCCAGAGGGCAGCAGCCUCCUGCAGUAACCAAUCUUCCUGCUGCCAUCCACGUUUGUCAGGACAAAGGAAAAGGUUUCGCUGCAAGGAGAUACAGUGCAUGGGCACGGGGCAGCUCUGACAGCCCACAGCCCUCCGGGUGGGACCACAGCAGGGCAGGUACCUGGGGAAGGUGGUGACGGGCUCCCAGUUGUUGCCAUCGGGGAAGCAGAAGAGGGGGAUGGCCUGCAGGAGCCGCUCCUCCUCCUCCUUCUGACCCUUCAGGAGGUUCUCACGCUGGAAUGAAGUGAUGCC